Molecule: long non-coding RNA, 427 nt
Organism: Coffea eugenioides
Lineage: Eukaryota; Viridiplantae; Streptophyta; Magnoliopsida; Gentianales; Rubiaceae
Exons: 3
Source: RefSeq, a predicted model, not a curated record
GCAAUUUUCCAAAACUCCACGGUACGAGUACAUUCCUUUUGUUGCAAGGUUGUGAGGAGCAGGGAAACAGAAACAAACGGUGAAGAGGCAAAAGAAACAGAGUCCUGUGGGAGUCAAUUGAAGGGGUUGAUGAUGGAAAUUAAGAUGGCUAAGCUUCAAGCAUGCUACAAUUGUUGUCUGCUUAUUCAACUUGCUCACUGCCCAUUUCUUGCUUCAGGGAUUCCUCUCUGCUUCUUCAUUUGGCCAGUUCUCUUCUUCUCACCAACCCAAUUCAGUUUUACUUAGGUACAUGAAGGAAUCUGAGGAGGUACGCCGUGCCAUGAUACCUUUGGAUUUUAUCAAAAGAGGCUUUUUGGCAACGCUUUUGCUGAAGGAGAAGAAAGGAAUGGAGAGGUUGCUGAAUUUGAGGACUCUGAAAUCCCGAGAG